GGCAGGGUAGCUCAGCGGUAGAGCACGAAAACGUUUCUCCAACCCUGGUUGCCUGCACCCCGGCAAAUGCGGAAGGAAUUACAUGGGGGUCGUAAAUGCAGGUUCGAAUCCUGCUCCUGCCU
RNAcentral lists this transfer RNA (122 nucleotides) under Cardiobacterium hominis ATCC 15826. It matches the Rfam family "tRNA". Rfam says of the family: Transfer RNA (tRNA) molecules are approximately 80 nucleotides in length. Lineage: Bacteria; Pseudomonadati; Pseudomonadota; Gammaproteobacteria; Cardiobacteriales; Cardiobacteriaceae. The record is from Rfam by way of RNAcentral.